This 414-nucleotide RNase P RNA is filed under the name Bacteroidota bacterium. Its description in RNAcentral is "RNase P RNA component class A". It matches the Rfam family "Bacterial RNase P class A". Rfam says of the family: Ribonuclease P (RNase P) is a ubiquitous endoribonuclease, found in archaea, bacteria and eukarya as well as chloroplasts and mitochondria. Its best characterised activity is the generation of mature 5'-ends of tRNAs by cleaving the 5'-leader elements of precursor-tRNAs. The record is from RNAcentral. Lineage: Bacteria; Pseudomonadati; Bacteroidota.
AACGUAAAUUGUGCAAUCGCGGCGCCGUAGGGCGUCGAGGAAAGUCCGAACUCCGCAGGACAGGACACCUUGUGAAAACGAGGGUGCUGCAAACGAAAGUUUACAGCAACGGAAAGUGCCACAGAAAAAAUACCGCCCCGCCUUUGGCGGGGUAAGGGUGAAAAGGCGAGUUAAGAGCUCACCGCUUCGUCAGUAAUGGCGGAGGUCCCGAAAGGGAUGGCGCUUCUGGCGCCACACGGCAAACCCUAUCCGGAGCAAGACCAAGUAAGAAACGAACGGUGCUGUCCGCACUGCCUCCGCUUCGGCGGAGAUAGUUUUGGGUAGGUCGCAUUAGAGAAAUGAUUGCAACCCCGUCGCCCCCGCUUCUUGCGGGAGAACGGGGAACAAAAUUCGGCUUAUAGAUUUACGUUUUGU